Molecule: long non-coding RNA, 3887 nt
Filed under: Sus scrofa (pig)
Lineage: Eukaryota; Metazoa; Chordata; Mammalia; Artiodactyla; Suidae
Description: lncRNA (ENSSSCG00050024526.1)
Source: RNAcentral
CCGCCCUCGGUACCGCGAGUCCGCCCCGUCGCCAUGGCCGGGCUUGUGGUCAGUGGAACUCAAGUGUCCUACAUAGGCCAGGACUGCAGAGAGAUUCCAGAGCACCUCGGCAGGGACUAUGGACACUUUGCAAAGAGGCUCGACCUGAGCUUUAACCUUCUGAGGUAUGUAACCUUCACAAGACGCAGGCCAGGCCUGGGAGGCCCAGUCCACCCAGUAAUGGCCUGCAGAUCAAAGUCAAACGUCCCAGUGGCAUCGCACCCCUAAGGCCUUGACGCUGCUGCACGUGAAUCUCCGGCUCCCCUCUUGGUGCCCUUGAAGACGCAUCAAGCAUAAGCAUCCUGUCUUACGUGUGUCCCUAUGAGAGGGCCGUUGGUGUCCUCUUGUUCUUUUCUCACUGAUGCCCUUGCGGACAAGUGGCAAUACUUUUGGGGAAGGAGUGAGAUAAAGCCAGCUGGUGUCUUGGGGGUGUUAGGAAUGCUUUCCUGGGUAACCCCAUCUCCCAGGUAGCAUGCGUGCGUCUUCUCUCUCUCUUUUUUUUUUUCUUUGCCUUUUAAUGAAUUGGAACCUUAAAUAUUUGUGAUGCUGAUUUCUCCCAGAUGGUAUUUCAGAGUAAUUGAAACACUGCUGCCAUGGGGGUGGAUGGGAGGGAAACUCAAACAACUGUUCCAGUCUUGGCAGAAGGUAAGGGUGCUGGUCUGUAUUCUCCCAGUGGAGACAACGGUUAUUUUCUUCCUAAAAGGUUUUGAAUUGCAACGGGCUUGGGGGCCUGGCCGAGGGAAGGAGGAGGUGCCCGGAAAGCCCGUGUCAGUGGGAUAAAUGGACAGGGAUCUGGGGGGUGGCUUGUCCUAACCGGUACCUCUACACAGAGCUUGGCCCUAAGUGUCCCUCUGAAAGCCGCCUGUCCUCUGAAUGGAGCCAUUGGUCUCGAGUGGAAGGAGAGAUGAGGAGCUGGAAUCCCACCCUAGGGCUCUGAUGCUUUGCUUCUUCCAUCUUGUGGAGUCUCCACUCUGAGUCGGGACCCUCUGGAAUGAGGAGGAUGGGACAAAACUCGGUGCUUGAAGGCACCAGAGGGUAGAGGGGACUGUGAGUUGAAGCUGAGCCGGCAGAGUUUCUUGGUGGUGCUCAGGCGCAAGGCCAGGCUAGGAUGCAUCGUCCCGACAGAAGGGGCCUCCAGGGGCUUGCGUGGGAAGAGUAUGGGCAAUGCACGCGUUCUCUUCCUGACUCCCAAGGGUUUGUAUGCUUCUGGGGAGACGGGGAAACAGAAAAGUCACCAAGAAAUGGAGUGAUGAGAGGAUGCCAAACAAACGCUGCCUCUAAAGAAAUUAAGGGUGGUGUUGGGUCCUUAUGCAAGGAGGGGACAGAAUAUACAGCCUCGAUAGGACAGUGCCUGAGUCACGUGUGCUGCUCAAAGAGCUCCCCCGUGCAGACUCAGAUAAAGUGUUUCUGUGGGCACGGAGAGGCAUUCUUCCCAUGUGACUGGCCUCUGGGGACCUGGGGCUUUGUGGCUCAGGCAGUGGCUGCUUUGCUGCCGGGAGCCCGGAUGUGGUUUUGAGAAGGCUGGCCCUGUGAAGGGGUGUCAGCAGUCAUAGGUCAUGGGACUGGGCUUGUUGGGUCUGAGGAAACGGCCGUCUUUGUUGCUCUCUGGGUCCUGCCUCCCUUGGGCAGAAAAGGGGCUGGGAUUCUAGGAGGCGUGUGGGUGUGGGAUGACAGUUCAGUGGUGAGAAGGGGCUCUUGGCUCUUCUGAGGGGCUGGAUCUAUUGGGAAAUGGCAGGUCUUGGAGCCCGGAAAUUUUUGGUAAAGUGGAGAUUCAGAGGAGGAGAAGUUAACAUUUUUCUUUUUCUGUGUUAAGUUGGAGGAGUGACCGCUUCUGGCCAGGAAGGAACCUAUUCUUAGCCAUGUUGGGUCAGUGUGUGACCUGCAUCCUGGGCUGGGGCAGGAGUGAUCCGUGGAGCCACGAGUUCUGAUGGGAGGGUUUAUAUUAGGACUUGGUUAAACUGGACAGAGUUCCAGACCAGAAGAGAGAAACACAGUGCUGGUUUGACAUGGUUAUGUUGGGACUGGCUUCUCUUAGAUGGUCUUAUUUACCUAACCCCGGGGGGCGAGGGGAGGUGGCACUAUUUCUCUCUGGUGUCAGAGGAAGAUGGAAGCUUACUCAGGCACUGGUCUCUGUCUUUGCCUUCAGGUGGAAUAAAAUUCAAAGAUCAUUUAGAUCCUUAACUCAUUUCUCUUAAAAAAAAAAAAAAAAAAAAAGGGAGGUAAGAGAAGGAAAGAGACAGAAGAUCAUAAACUUGCCUUCCAAAUGAAAUGUGACAGAUGACCUGAGCCCACCAGGCUGUGGGGAUCAUCAGAUCUAAAUGAAAUACUGUGGAUCUCCACCUAACCUUCAGUAGAAAGUUUCUUCCCAGCCCUUCCUCACUAUUUUUAUGGAAUUUGGAGGAACCUAUCUCCCUGCUCUGCUCUGGGAUUUCCCAUAGCUCCCUGUCCUAACUCUGUCUGUGCUCUGUCUGCUGUUCUCCCUCUGGGCACUGGGUCUGGCCCCACUCAGGGCGCUCCCUUCAUGUCUCUGAAGCCCAGCACAACAUGACUUUGUAUUACAGACGUUGACUGCCAGUUCACAGUGUGCUGGGGGAGGAGGGUGUGAUGACUGCAUGCAGCAGCAGAUGCUGGGAUAGCAUUGUUCCCAGAGAGCUUUUGGGUACUCCCUGGCCCUGGAGAAUUUCUCCCUGGCUGUGCUUCUUAUUAGGAUCAGGCCCUACAUGUGACCAGGUGCCCCUCUUUCCCAGCCUCUUUGUCUCCUUUCCAUGUUACCUUCUUUCCAAAGCUGUCUCAGAAACAGAAUUCUUCUCAUUUUGUUGUAUACAGAAAAAUUACCCCCCACCUUUUUCUAAAACAUCUCUAUGGGCUUCCUUUUCAUAUCCCAAGAGUUUUAUCAGGGUGUUGGCUUAAUGGAGCCAUACCCGAUGAUCGAAAGUGUGCCGGCCCCGUAAGUCAUAAAAUUGGUCUGUUUUUGCUUUAGACUACAAUUUGCUUUUAGGCAAGGAAUUCUUUUUCUUCCUUUCUUUCCUUUCUUUCCUUUCUUUCCUUUCCUUUCUUUCUGUCUUUUUAGAGCUGCACCCAUGGCAUAUGGAGGUUCCUAGGCUAGGGGUCAAGUCGGAGCUGUAGCCACUGGCCUACGCCUCAGCAAAGCCAGAUCUGAGCCGCUUCUGUGAUCUAUACCACAGCUCACGGCAACACUCAAUCCUUAUCCCACUGAGCAAGGCCAGGGACCAAACCUGCAUCCUCAUGGAUGCUAGUCAGAUCUGUUGCUGCUGAGCCACGAAGGAAACUCAAAGGAAUUCUUUUGGUUCAUUUUGAAACAGCUCAUACGUGCACGUGGCACACUCUUGAGAAGGAACAAACAUGCAGCCAGUGAAAAGAAAGUUGCCUUUACAUGUCUGUCCUUUAGCCUCCCAGUUCUUGUCUGCAUUGCUAACUAUGGAAACUUGGGUUUUUUACAUCCUCCCGAGAGAUUUUGUGUCUACACUAACGUGAGAAUUUCUCACAUGGCCAGAUUUGCAUUACUUCUUGUCAAGGUGUCUGUUACAAGGUAGGCAUCAGGCUUCAGUUAACCAUUCAAAAUAGGGCCCUCUUUCUUUAUUACUGUAAUAUUAAUUCAUAGCCAUUCACCAUCCUGAUUGUUCAUUUCAUUCAUGAAAGUGAUGUUUCUGCUGAUUCUCUCUAUGGCCAUCUGUUCAUGCUGGAGGGGAGGGUGGUGAUGGAUUUAUAAACUCUGAACUCUUAUUAUUAUUAUUUUUUUUGCCAUCACACCUCACGGUCUUCUCUCCUGCCUUAACAAUGGUGAAUCUGACUCUGCCUCAGUUGAGUGGUCGAGUAGUAAACUGGUU